UGUGGAUGUAUGUAAGUGUAGACAUAGAUGUAGAUAGAUAGAACUGAUCAAUAGUGUUUAGCAGAGUUUCAUUGAAUCAUCUUAGCUCAUGAGCGAGCAAUAAGCCAAACCACGUAUACCCUUUCAAAUCCUCUCUUCCCAUCUAUUUUCUGUGAUUGUCUUCUUUUGUCUCCUUGCCUGUGGAGUCCUUGUCUGAAUAUUUAUUAAAUAUGUGGAUUCUUUUUAACUUGCUAAUCCUUAUCCCACGAGUGAAAUCCAAAACAAGAAUCAUACUAUACGCAAAUAAAUGCACCAGAUACUCUUAUCAGUUUUUGCAUUGAAAUACGCUUAAAAUUCACCAUGCACACCAAAUCCACUUGUUGAAUCAGAAACAAUCAGGCAUCUGGGUUCCUGUUCUGUGCUUGUGGG
RNAcentral lists this long non-coding RNA (408 nucleotides) under Elaeis guineensis (African oil palm). RNAcentral's name for it is "long non-coding RNA (EGUI_LNC021936)". The record is from RNAcentral. Lineage: Eukaryota; Viridiplantae; Streptophyta; Magnoliopsida; Arecales; Arecaceae.